AGUUGUAGCCACAGCUGCCCUGGGGCAGACUGACAGAAGCGAGGCUGCCAUAUCGCGCCAUCGGCCCCUCUGGCCAACACCUUUUUACUCCAUCAUCAUUGAAUCUGUCCUUACUUUCUCUGUUACCACCUGGUAGUGAUGGCUCGCUUGAAGCUGACGCUCCGGUGCGUGUGUCACUGUGUCGAAGCUUGAUUCGUUUGCCCAGAGUCACGUGAUCGGUGACGUCCGAAGCUUCAUUUAGAGCGUGACUGCUUCGGUGUCUGAUUCAAUGGUUCAUAAGGAAGCGAAUCAUUCGCGGGAUUUGUGGAGUGUUUGAUGGUGACAGAUAGCGAACCACUGAUAUUUCUACUGAGAGAUUUGGAGCCAGCGAGGAAUAGAGGAGGUUCUGUUGUGUGGGAGUAUUUUGAGUUGAUUUUGGUCGAUCAGAUGUCACCAGAGAGGACUGUGUUGAAAAGCUUCGAGUAAUGAACCGUUUUUCAAUACAAGCUUCAGAAAGCUUCAUUUGGCCAUCACUACCACCUGGUAAGCUGCUGUCUCUGCCAAGGACCAAAGCAGAGUGAAGCCGCUCCUCCGAGAAGACGAUUGGCUGCAAUCCCUACAACACCUGAACAGGAAACUGAGGCUACAGUUCCCAGACUCACCAAAAUUGGACCACAAAAUGAAAAAAUGUUUUCCGAUCUGAUCAUGAUUUCUGCAGCAAAAUUUAAAUGUUUGGUGUAAAGAUGAAAGCAUGGAUCCACCCUGCCUGCGCCAGUGCUCAGACUGCUGCUGAUGUGAUGGUAUAGGGCAGAUUUCCAGUACCAGCUGAACAUCAUUGAACUCCACAGCCUACCUGAGUGUUAUUGCUGACCACGUCUGUGGGUUUAUGACCACAGUAUAUCAUUUCCUGAUGCUGCUUUCAGCACGAUCACACAGCUCAUCUCAAACUGUUUUUUUGAAUAUGACAGUGAGGUCAGUGCACUCAGCCUCCACAGCCACAGUCCUGUGAUUGUUCAGCACUCUAACAGGUUCUAAAUGCAGUCUCCAUAGCACGUUCUUCUAUUUCAUCUUCAGAUAUGUUGAAAUGUAGGUACUAACUGCUGCAGACAUGUCCACACUGUCUCCCCUUUAUUUAUUUUUAGCGUCUGCAUCCUGUCAGCUGAUCAUUACCUAUAAACAUUAAAUCAAAAGGUCAAAUCUGAGCUUCAUCAUUUGUCUCGCACUACUGAGCUUCAUCUGAAAAUGAAAGCUAGAUAAAUGUCUGAUUAAAGCUGGUCUCUCUUCUGAUGUUUGUAGAUCAACAUCACGUUCAUGGAUUUAAAUGGGAGUUCCGCUCUUUACUUACCUGUUGCUAUAGAGAAUCGUUGCAUAAGAGCUGCACUGAUAUUAAUCACGUAUGUGCUUAAUAUCAGUGCAGCUGUCUGAUUUGAACCUACUUCCUGGAUGAAGACUCUGCUCGUACACUCAAUGUGACUUCAACUAAUCACAUGUAAUUUUUAGCUUUAGCUACAUAAGUCUGCACAUUGAAUUUAAUGGACAAAAUGUAUUUGAUUGGUAGACAUUACCUUUGACACAUUGCAGCUGCAUUUUAAUCUGAAUUAUUACUUCACGUUCAUCGAGGGCAGAAAAAUCAUUUUGAAGCUGGAGCAGCACAUCCAAUAAAAGCUCGUCAGUCAAAGGAGGAGGAGUUUUAUUCUACACACUGAAACACAGCAAAGUCAUUUUUUCACAGAUGAAACAGAAACUAAAUGUUUAUUAGAGCUGCUUUCAUCUGAUUCCUCUUCUGUCACUGACUGAGGUCAAGGUCUGUUUGAUUUUGUCAGCUGAACUUAAAUCACCACGACCAGGUGAGAUGCCAGGUGAGAGUCAAAGUCCAUUUAGAAGAGUUGUCAUUUUACCUCCUAAGGCUGGAGAUGCUGUCAGGGCCCAGCUACUCUUUACCUUUGUUUUAGAUUUCAACCCGAGACAUGCGGGGGCAUCAGGGGAGUGUGCGAGGUGGUUUUGCAGCAGAGAUCAAACAUUUUCUGUGUCGCUGACUUUAACAGGGGAUAAAAAAAAACAGAAACGCCAAAGGAACAAACCAGCCAAUCAAUGCCGGCUUCAA
Long non-coding RNA from Haplochromis burtoni (Burton's mouthbrooder), 2083 nucleotides. RefSeq lists it as uncharacterized. The transcript is spliced from 2 exons. Lineage: Eukaryota; Metazoa; Chordata; Actinopteri; Cichliformes; Cichlidae. The record is from RefSeq and is a predicted model, not a curated record.